RNAcentral lists this ribosomal RNA (859 nucleotides) under uncultured bacterium. RNAcentral's name for it is "bacterial SSU rRNA". It matches the Rfam family "Bacterial small subunit ribosomal RNA", at positions 30 to 884 of the family's 1533-position model. The record is from RNAcentral.
UGAACGCUAGCUACAGGCUUAACACAUGCAAGUCGAGGGGCAGCAUGACGAUAGCUUGCUAUUGUUGAUGGCGACCGGCGCACGGGUGAGUAACGCGUAUCCAACCUGCCCUUGUCCAUCGGAUAACCCGUCGAAAGGCGGCCUAACACGAUAUGCAGUCCACAGAAGGCAUCUGACGCGGACGAAAUGUAAAGGAGAAGGAUGGGGAUGCGUCUGAUUAGCUUGUUGGCGGGGUAACGGCCCACCAAGGCGACGAUCAGUAGGGGUUCUGAGAGGAAGGUCCCCCACAUUGGAACUGAGACACGGUCCAAACUCCUACGGGAGGCAGCAGUGAGGAAUAUUGGUCAAUGGGCGAGAGCCUGAACCAGCCAAGUAGCGUGCAGGAAGACGGCCCUAUGGGUUGUAAACUGCUUUUAUGCGGGGAUAAAGUGGGCCACGUGUGGCUUAUUGCAGGUACCGCAUGAAUAAGGACCGGCUAAUUCCGUGCCAGCAGCCGCGGUAAUACGGAAGGUCCGGGCGUUAUCCGGAUUUAUUGGGUUUAAAGGGAGCGUAGGCCGUCUGGUAAGCGUGUUGUGAAAUGUCGGGGCUCAACCUGGGCAUUGCAGCGCGAACUGUCAGACUUGAGUGCGCGGGAAGUAGGCGGAAUUCGUCGUGUAGCGGUGAAAUGCUUAGAUAUGACGAAGAACUCCGAUUGCGAAGGCAGCCUGCUGUAGCGCAACUGACGCUGAAGCUCGAAAGCGUGGGUAUCGAACAGGAUUAGAUACCCUGGUAGUCCACGCGGUAAACGAUGGAUGCUCGCUGUUUGCGUCUGACGUAAGCGGCCAAGCGAAAGCGUUAAGCAUCCCACCUGGGGAGUACG